Molecule: transfer RNA, 72 nt
Filed under: Camelus ferus (Wild Bactrian camel)
Lineage: Eukaryota; Metazoa; Chordata; Mammalia; Artiodactyla; Camelidae
Rfam family: tRNA
About the family: Transfer RNA (tRNA) molecules are approximately 80 nucleotides in length. Their secondary structure includes four short double-helical elements and three loops (D, anti-codon, and T loops). Further hydrogen bonds mediate the characteristic L-shaped molecular structure. tRNAs have two regions of fundamental functional importance: the anti-codon, which is responsible for specific mRNA codon recognition, and the 3' end, to which the tRNAs corresponding amino acid is attached (by aminoacyl-tRNA synthetases). tRNAs cope with the degeneracy of the genetic code in two manners: having more than one tRNA (with a specific anti-codon) for a particular amino acid; and 'wobble' base-pairing, i.e. permitting non-standard base-pairing at the 3rd anti-codon position.
Source: Rfam by way of RNAcentral
GGGGCCAUAGCUCAGUGGUAGAGCGUCUGCAUAGCAUGGGUGAGGUCCUGGGUUCCAUCCCCAGCACCUCCA